RNAcentral lists this long non-coding RNA (1577 nucleotides) under Lotus japonicus. RNAcentral's name for it is "long non-coding RNA (LJAP_LNC000831)". Lineage: Eukaryota; Viridiplantae; Streptophyta; Magnoliopsida; Fabales; Fabaceae. The record is from RNAcentral.
CUGACCUCACGGUAACAAUACGAGUCUUUCCAACACGUUUUGUCCUCACUCACGUGCAUCUUGAGAAAACAUCCUAGGAUGUCACCCAUCCCAAUAUUGUUGCAAGACAAACACACUUAACCUUGGAGUUUUUAUAGGUUGGGCUCCGGUAAAGAAGAUGCAUCUUGUUGUCAUGAGUAGUAUCAAUCAAAUAUUUUAUGAAUCCUCAGUUAUAUAGUCUCAUACCUAUACAUCCUCGAAAUACCUCUUGUUCUGGUGCGAGAUCGGUUCAGUCAUGUGUGCCUCCGGCUAGAAGCCUGCUAGGAGCCGCUCCUUGUCUGUGUCUCAUUGCACCGACAGUCACUCCCCGCCCUCAUCAGCCAGGGUGUCACAAAACCUAUAUAUUUUACAAAAAAAUAUGUAAAACGGGUUAUUUAUUAGUUUUCACUUUUCUUAUUUUUUAAUCCUCAUUCACCUAUUUGAAUGCAGUUUAUUUAUUUACUUUGAUAGCAUGAGGGCCUUACGCCCAAUGAAAAAUCUUCAGUAAGUAGAUUUUAGGAAUUGAUGAGACUUCUGUAUUGAGACACAAACUAAAUGUUUUCAACCUGCCGAAGGAGUAUGUAAGGUGUAAAGAUUAACAUGUUUCCUAAAUACAUAAUAGGCUAAAUAGCACUUUUGAUCUCCCAGGAUUCAAAAAUGUGUAAAAGUGGUUCCCAAACUUUAAAAUUGAUAUUUGGCCUCCUGAAGUUAGCCUCUGUCAACAAUUUUAGUCCCUCAUCAGUCUUACAUCCAAAACUAAAGGUUUUGGCUUAUUUGGAAUUUUUAAAGGAGGUGAUAACCAAUUAGGAGAAAGUGGUAAUUAGAUUAUAAAAAAAAUCCUAAUCCCUCCUUUUCAUCUUGUCUUCAUUAUCUUCAUCUUCAACCUCAUCCAUCAUUCUUCAUCCUCAACAACAACGGUAACCCAAAAAUUUUCCAAACCCAGAUAUGGAAACAACAAUAAAAAUUAAAAUCUAAGAAUGAAAAUUUGAAACAAAGCUCUCUACCCAUCAAUCAAUUCCUUCUUCUCCUUCUCCAUUCUCAAACUUGUAAUCCAAUCUAGCACCGGUGAACUCUCUAGGAAAAACCGGUGGCAAACCAAUUUGGGCGAGAAAAGCCCUCAACUUUGGAUGCUCCAAGCUCGAAAACGACACAAAGCCAGAAGAUUCAUAUACGCAAUCAGCAAGAUGAUCAAGGGCACUAUCAACCUGGGUAUUUGCUGAGAGGAGAAUCAGGUGAAGUUUUCAGACUCUUCAGCUUCUCACACUGUCCUCCAACAUAGCCAAAGCUCCAAAAUCCUCUUUCCACCAAACAUGCCAGAUCCGAAUCAAUUCCUUCAGAAUCUCUCACCGUGACGAGCCCAGCUGCGUCGUGGCCUUCAGUUCCCCCUCGACCUCAUCCCUAAGCCUCUCCCAACCCAAAUCUGACCCCAGAUCCGAUCAUAACUAAGAUUCUUGGCACAAGUGUGGAGAGAGAGAGAGAGAGAGAGAGAGAGAGAGAGAGAGAGAGAGAGAGAGAGAGAGAGAGAGAGAGAGAGAGAGAGAGAGAGAGAGAGAGAGAGA